This 954-nucleotide ribosomal RNA is filed under the name Meripilus lineatus. RNAcentral's name for it is "partial large subunit ribosomal RNA". The record is from RNAcentral. Lineage: Eukaryota; Fungi; Basidiomycota; Agaricomycetes; Polyporales; Meripilaceae.
AAGCAUAUCAAUAAGCGGAGGAAAAGAAACUAAACAAGGAUUCCCCUAGUAACUGCGAGUGAAGCGGGAAAAGCUCAAAUUUAAAAUCUGGCAGUCUUUGGCUGUCCGAGUUGUAAUCUGGAGAAGUGCUUUCCGCGCUGGACCGUGUACAAGUCUCUUGGAAUAGAGCGUCAUAGAGGGUGAGAAUCCCGUCUUUGACACGGACUACCAGUGCUUUGUGAUGCGCUUUCAAAGAGUCGAGUUGUUUGGGAAUGCAGCUCAAAAUGGGUGGUAAAUUCCAUCUAAAGCUAAAUAUUGGCGAGAGACCGAUAGCGAACAAGUACCGUGAGGGAAAGAUGAAAAGCACUUUGGAAAGAGAGUUAAACAGUACGUGAAAUUGCUGAAAGGGAAACGCUUGAAGUCAGUCGCGUUGUUCAGAACUCAGCCUGGCUUUGGCUUGGUGCAUUUUCUGAAUAACGGGCCAGCAUCAAUUUUGACUGUUGGAUAAAGGCYAGGGAAAUGUGGCUCCCUUGGGAGUGUUAUAGUCCUUGGUUGCAUACAAUGGUUGGGAUUGAGGAACUCAGCAUGCCUUUAUGGUCGGGGUUCGCCCACGUUCAUGCUUAGGAUGCUGGCGUAAUGGCUUUAAACGACCCGUCUUGAAACACGGACCAAGGAGUCUAACAUGCCUGCGAGUGUUUGGGUGGAAAACCCGAGCGCGCAAUGAAAGUGAAAGUUGGGAUCUCUGUCGUGGAGAGCACCAAUGCCCGGACCAGACCUUCUGUGACGGUUCCGCGGUAGAGCAUGUAUGUUGGGACCCGAAAGAUGGUGAACUAUGCCUGAAUAGGGUGAAGCCAGAGGAAACUCUGGUGGAGGCUCGUAGCGAUUCUGACGUGCAAAUCGAUCGUCAAAUUUGGGUAUAGGGGCGAAAGACUAAUCGAACCAUCUAGUAGCUGGUUCCUGCCGAGUUUCCCCUCC